RNAcentral lists this transfer RNA (73 nucleotides) under Camelus bactrianus (Bactrian camel). It matches the Rfam family "tRNA". From Rfam's summary of the family: Transfer RNA (tRNA) molecules are approximately 80 nucleotides in length. Their secondary structure includes four short double-helical elements and three loops (D, anti-codon, and T loops). RNAcentral also lists the same sequence under 3 other names. The record is from Rfam by way of RNAcentral. Lineage: Eukaryota; Metazoa; Chordata; Mammalia; Artiodactyla; Camelidae.
GUGGGUAUAGCUCAGUGGUAGAACUGCAUGCUUAGCAUGCACGAGGUCCUGGGUUCAAUCCCCAGUAUCUCCA